This 810-nucleotide ribosomal RNA is filed under the name uncultured Thermoproteales archaeon. RNAcentral describes it as "bacterial SSU rRNA". It matches the Rfam family "Archaeal small subunit ribosomal RNA", at positions 85 to 879 of the family's 1478-position model. Lineage: Archaea; Thermoproteati; Thermoproteota; Thermoprotei; Thermoproteales. The record is from RNAcentral.
ACKGCUCAGUAACACGUGGCUAACCUGCCCUUGGGACGGAGUCAUUCCCAGGAGGCUGGGGUUAAUUUUUGAUAGGUGAAGUAGAGUGGAAUGAGUUUUCGCCCAAAAGUCGCUUAGAUCAUGCUUAUAGGUGUUGCCCAAGGAUGGGGCUGCGGCUGAUCAGGUUGUUGGUGAGGUAAUGGCUCACCAAGCCUUUAACCGGUACGGCCCGUGGGAGCGGUAGCCCGGAGAUGGGCACUGAGACAAGGGCCCAGGUCCUACGGGGCGCAGCAGUCGCGAAAACUUCGCAAUAGGAGAAAGCUUGACGGGGCCAUCCCGAGUGCCAUCUGCUGAGGAUGGCUUUUACCCAGUGUAGAUAGAUGGGGGAAUAAGGAGAGGGCUAGUCUGGUGUCAGCCACCGCGGUAAUACCAGCUGUCCGAGUUGUGGGGACGUUUAUUGGGCUUAAAGCAUCCGUAGCCGGCUGGUCAAGUCCUUUGUUAACCCCAGCGAUUAAUCGUUGGCCUGCGGGGGAUUCUGUCCGGCUAGGGGGCGGGAGAGGCCGUCGGUAUUCUCGGGGUAGGGGUGAAAUCCUAUAAUCCCGGGAGGACCACCAGUGGCGAAGGCUGUCGGGUAGAACGCGCCCGACGGUGAGGGAUGAAACCUGGGGGAGCGAGCCGGAUUAGACAUCCGGGUAGUCCCAGCUGUAACCGAUUCUGGCUAGGUGUUGAAGCGGGUACGAUCCCCUUCAGUGCCGCAGGGAAGCCAUUAAGCCAACCGCCUGGGGAGUGCGGCCGCAAGGCUGAAAGUUAAAGGAAUUGGCGGGGGASCAC